RNAcentral lists this ribosomal RNA (772 nucleotides) under Bacillus sp. (in: firmicutes). Its description in RNAcentral is "bacterial SSU rRNA". It matches the Rfam family "Bacterial small subunit ribosomal RNA", at positions 57 to 805 of the family's 1533-position model. Lineage: Bacteria; Bacillati; Bacillota; Bacilli; Caryophanales; Bacillaceae. The record is from RNAcentral.
GAACGUGAAUCUACGUGAACUGAUUAGAAGCUUGCUUCUAUGACGUUAGCGGCGGACGGGUGAGUAACACGUGGGCAACCUGCCUGUAAGACUGGGAUAACUUCGGGAAACCGAAGCUAAUACCGGAUAGGAUCUUCUCCUUCAUGGGAGAUGAUUGAAAGAUGGUUUCGGCUAUCACUUACAGAUGGGCCCGCGGUGCAUUAGCUAGUUGGUGAGGUAACGGCUCACCAAGGCAACGAUGCAUAGCCGACCUGAGAGGGUGAUCGGCCACACUGGGACUGAGACACGGCCCAGACUCCUACGGGAGGCAGCAGUAGGGAAUCUUCCGCAAUGGACGAAAGUCUGACGGAGCAACGCCGCGUGAGUGAUGAAGGCUUUCGGGUCGUAAAACUCUGUUGUUAGGGAAGAACAAGUACAAGAGUAACUGCUUGUACCUUGACGGUACCUAACCAGAAAGCCACGGCUAACUACGUGCCAGCAGCCGCGGUAAUACGUAGGUGGCAAGCGUUAUCCGGAAUUAUUGGGCGUAAAGCGCGCGCAGGCGGUUUCUUAAGUCUGAUGUGAAAGCCCACGGCUCAACCGUGGAGGGUCAUUGGAAACUGGGGAACUUGAGUGCAGAAGAGAAAAGCGGAAUUCCACGUGUAGCGGUGAAAUGCGUAGAGAUGUGGAGGAACACCAGUGGCGAAGGCGGCUUUUUGGUCUGUAACUGACGCUGAGGCGCGAAAGCGUGGGGAGCAAACACGAUUAUAUACCCUGGUGGUCCACACCCGUA